GGGUGCGAUCAUACCAGCACU
This 21-nucleotide ribosomal RNA is filed under the name Spirodela polyrhiza (greater duckweed). Lineage: Eukaryota; Viridiplantae; Streptophyta; Magnoliopsida; Alismatales; Araceae. RNAcentral also lists the same sequence under 1 other name. The record is from RNAcentral.